Molecule: transfer RNA, 82 nt
Filed under: Fusarium acuminatum
Lineage: Eukaryota; Fungi; Ascomycota; Sordariomycetes; Hypocreales; Nectriaceae
Also listed under: 2 other names
Description: tRNA-Gly
Rfam family: tRNA
About the family: Transfer RNA (tRNA) molecules are approximately 80 nucleotides in length.
Source: RNAcentral
GCGUAAUUGGUUUAGUGGUAAAAUUCUCCGUUGCCAUCUGUGUAACAUCGGGGAGCCCUGGGUUCGAUUCCCAGAUUACGCA